GACGAACGCUGGCGGCGUGCCUAAUACAUGCAAGUCGAACGCUGAAGAGAGGAGCUUGCUCUUCUUGGGUGAGUUGCGAACGGGUGAGUAACGCGUAGGUACCCUGUCUUGUAGCGGGGGAUAACUAUUGGAAACGAUAGUUAAUACCGCAUAACAAUGGACGACAAAUGUUGUUUAUUUGAAAGGGGCAAUUGCUCCACUACAAGAUGGACCCGCGUUGUAUUAGCCAGUAGGUGUGGUAAGGGCUCACCUAGGCGACGAUACGUAACCGACCUGAGAGGGUACGCGGCCUAGCUGGGAUUAGGGCAUGGCCCACAACACUGGGGGAGGGACACGUACGAAAUCUUCGGGGAUGGGAGCAAUCGUGAACGUGGAACGCUGCGCGCGUGCAGAAGCCUUUCGUGUCGUAAAGGUCUGUUGUAAGUCAAGGUCGGGUGUGAGUGUGAAAAGUUCACACUGUGACGGUAGCUUACGAGAAAGCCACGGCUAACUACGUG
This 497-nucleotide ribosomal RNA is filed under the name uncultured bacterium. RNAcentral describes it as "partial 16S ribosomal RNA". It matches the Rfam family "Bacterial small subunit ribosomal RNA", at positions 28 to 507 of the family's 1533-position model. The record is from RNAcentral.